UUGCUGUAAUGGCCUUUGGCGGAAGUGUUAGCGACGUUUUCGUAACUUUCUAGUCUCUUUUAUUUACAACUUGUAGGUGCCCAGUUCGAUUUUCGCGGUAGGAAUCUAGGUUCUAUGAGUAAUCUAGAUAUCUAAUUCCGGCAAUGAGUAGUGCCACCACUGAAGGGGAGCAAUCCAGCACAGUACACUACCCGUGGGAAGGCGGUCUGGAUUACACCUCGUUGGCUUCUCUUAUUAUUAGGGAAAAAAUAAAAGAGCUAAGAUGUGUGUUAGUACAACUGCUAUU
Molecule: signal recognition particle RNA, 286 nt
Filed under: Pachysolen tannophilus NRRL Y-2460
Lineage: Eukaryota; Fungi; Ascomycota; Pichiomycetes; Alaninales; Pachysolenaceae
Description: Fungal signal recognition particle RNA
Rfam family: Fungal signal recognition particle RNA
Source: Rfam by way of RNAcentral